Molecule: ribosomal RNA, 540 nt
Filed under: Blautia obeum
Lineage: Bacteria; Bacillati; Bacillota; Clostridia; Lachnospirales; Lachnospiraceae
Description: bacterial SSU rRNA
Rfam family: Bacterial small subunit ribosomal RNA
Source: RNAcentral
UUCCUUAACCGGAACUUUCCUUCGGGACAGGGGAGACAGGUGGUGCAUGGUUGUCGUCAGCUCGUGUCGUGAGAUGUUGGGUUAAGUCCCGCAACGAGCGCAACCCCUAUCCCCAGUAGCCAGCAGUCCGGCUGGGCACUCUGAGGAGACUGCCAGGGAUAACCUGGAGGAAGGCGGGGAUGACGUCAAAUCAUCAUGCCCCUUAUGAUUUGGGCUACACACGUGCUACAAUGGCGUAAACAAAGGGAAGCAAGCCUGCGAAGGUAAGCAAAUCCCAAAAAUAACGUCCCAGUUCGGACUGCAGUCUGCAACUCGACUGCACGAAGCUGGAAUCGCUAGUAAUCGCGGAUCAGAAUGCCGCGGUGAAUACGUUCCCGGGUCUUGUACACACCGCCCGUCACACCAUGGGAGUCAGUAACGCCCGAAGUCAGUGACCUAACUGCAAAGAAGGAGCUGCCGAAGGCGGGACCGAUGACUGGGGUGAAGUCGUAACAAGGUAGCCGUAUCGGAAGGUGCGGCUGGAUCACCUCCUUUCUAAGG